This 1247-nucleotide long non-coding RNA is filed under the name Solanum tuberosum (potato). Its description in RNAcentral is "long non-coding RNA (STUB_LNC003521)". Lineage: Eukaryota; Viridiplantae; Streptophyta; Magnoliopsida; Solanales; Solanaceae. The record is from RNAcentral.
UAAAGAUUGUUAGUAUUGUAUUAUGUCUCUUUGAUCUGUUUUUCUUGUGUAAUUUGGAAUAGCCUGUAUUAUGCAUAAUUAGGAAAUUUUGGUUAUCUCUAAAUCAAUUUAAAUCAUUUCAUUUGCUCUAAUUAAUGAAAUUUGGUACCCUCUUAUUCAUGGUAACUUUAUAUUCUUAUUUUGGAAUAAUAAUAUGGAUAGCUUCAUACUUAAUGAAUCUUAUGAUUGACUAAUUUAGUUGAACAUGCCUAUGGAAAUUAUGAGCAUGGAUAUUUGUCUGUAAUUGCACCUUCCUUAUUUAGUUAUGUCUAUUUACCGUUGUAAAUUAUGCUCUUUACUUGUUUUAUAUUUUAAUUGAUUUUGUUUACCUUAACUAAAAGUGGGUAAGUUUCCUUGCUUGCUUUUAUAUUUGGUACAAAAUAAUUUAAAAUAAAUCUAAUUUGGCUCUCCUUUGAAAUAAGGAAAAAUAAUAUUAACUGACUCCUUAAUUUAUUUUUUCCCUUAUUUGUGCCCUCCCCUUCACUAAAUAAAUAGACCCCUGCUCUCAUUCUUCAGACUCAGUCAUUGAUGUUUACAUACUCUAACAAGAGCAUAAAAUACUCCCCACUCUAAAGAUUUAAAAUUGGGUGAACAUUCUAAGAGCUUCUCUACUUGAUUUUGUUGUGUUCGGGUCUAGUAUCGAAAUAAGUUUAGUCUUCAUUGCUGUUAAAUCUUUCUGCUUUAACUGGUUAGUUGUUCUUCCAUUAGUUUAAUUUCAUCUUGCAUUAUUAUUUUGUGUAUGUUUGAAAUAAUAAAGGAAGCAUCCGGGUCAGUUCCUUUCUUCCCUCUUUAUGUGUGACAUCAUACAUGGUGUGGUUCUUUACUUGUUUAAAUUCUUGUAUGUAUGCCCAUGAUUUAGCUUGUGUAUUGAGGAAACCUGCAAAUAGUUAAUAUUAUCAUAUAUAUAUAUACUUGUUUGUAUCUUUUGUUAUCCGCGAGCAGGUUUGAACACAAAGUUCAAGAUAUGGAGAGUCGCCAUGGGAGGGAAACAAUAGACAAGCGGAUUUCAUUUAAUUUACGUCUGUGUAUUAUUUAAUCUUUAUUAUUUUUCUGUAAUAAUCUGUAAACUCGAACUCCAUGGAUUUAUAUGAAAUACUUGGGGAAUCGUCUAAGGGGGAGGGGAUUACGUGCUAACUGUUUCUUCUUUUUUAGGCCUUAUUUUAUUAUGUGAUUGUUAUAGAUGAUUUGUAUAUCACUAAAAAAAAAAA